UGAUAAGUCUGAUGUGAAAGCCCACGGCUCAACCGUGGAACUGCAUCGGAAACUGUCAUUCUUGAGUGCAGAAGAGGAGAGUGGAAUUCCAUGUGUAGCGGUGGAAUGCGUAGAUAUAUGGAAGAACACCAGUGGCGAAGGCGGCUCUCUGGUCUGCAACUGACGCUGAGGCUCGAAAGCAUGGGUAGCGAACAGGAUUAGAUACCCUGGUAGUCCAUGCCGUAAACGAUGAGCGCUAGGUGUUGGGGACUUUCCGGUCCUCAGUGCCGCAGCAAACGCAUUAAGCGCUCCGCCUGGGGAGUACGACCGCAAGGUUGAAACUCAAAGGAAUUGACGGGGGCCCGCACAAGCGGUGGAGCAUGUGGUUUAAUUCGAAGCAACGCGAAGAACCUUACCAGGUCUUGACAUCCUGCGCUACACCUAGAGAUAGGUGGUUCCCUUCGGGGACGCAGAGACAGGUGGUGCAUGGCUGUCGUCAGCUCGUGUCGUGAGAUGUUGGGUUAAGUCCCGCAACGAGCGCAACCCUUGUCUUUAGUUGCCAUCAUUAAGUUGGGCACUCUAAAGAGACUGCCGGUGACAAACCGGAGGAAGGUGGGGAUGACGUCAAGUCAUCAUGCCCCUUAUGACCUGGGCUACACACGUGCUACAAUGGGCAGUACAACGAGAAGCGAACCCGCGAGGGUAAGCGGAUCUCUUAAAGCUGUUCUCAGUUCGGACUGCAGGCUGCAACUCGCCUGCACGAAGCUGGAAUCGCUAGUAAUCGCGGAUCAGCACGCCGCGGUGAAUACGUUCCCGGGCCUUGUACACACCGCCCGUCACACCAUGGAAGUCUGCAAUGCCCAAAGUCGGUGGGAUAACCUUUAUAGGAGUCAGCCGCCUAAGGCAGGGCAGAUGACUGGGGUGAAGUCGUAACAAGGUAGCCGUAGGAGAACCUGCGGCUGGAUCACCUCCUUUCUAAGGAA
Molecule: ribosomal RNA, 962 nt
Filed under: Lactobacillus delbrueckii subsp. bulgaricus
Lineage: Bacteria; Bacillati; Bacillota; Bacilli; Lactobacillales; Lactobacillaceae
Description: bacterial SSU rRNA
Rfam family: Bacterial small subunit ribosomal RNA
Source: RNAcentral